CCAAUAGCGUAUAUUAAAGUUGUUGUGGUUAAAAAGCUCGUAGUUGAACCUUGGGCCUGGCUGGCCGGUCCGCCUCACCGCGUGUACUGGUCCGGCCGGGCCUUUCCCUCUGUGGAACCUCAUGCCCUUCACUGGGUGUGACGGGGAAGCAGGACUUUUACUGUGAAAAAAUUAGAGUGCUCCAAGCAGGCCUAUGCUCGAAUACAUUAGCAUGGAAUAAUAAAAUAGGACGUGCGGUUCUAUUUUGUUGGUUUCUAGGACCGCCGUAAUGAUUAAUAGGGACAGUCGGGGGCAUCAGUAUUCAAUUGUCAGAGGUGAAAUUCUUGGAUUUAUUGAAGACUAACUACUGCGAAAGCAUUUGCCAAGGAUGUUUUCAUUAAUCAGGAACGAAAGUUAGGGGAUCGAAGACGAUCAGAUACCGUCGUAGUCUUAACCAUAAACUAUGCCGACUAGGGAUCGGACGAUGUUAUUUUUUGACUCGUUCGGCACCUUCCG
RNAcentral lists this unclassified non-coding RNA (495 nucleotides) under uncultured Paraglomus. RNAcentral's name for it is "SSU rRNA". It matches the Rfam family "Eukaryotic small subunit ribosomal RNA", at positions 591 to 1092 of the family's 1831-position model. The record is from RNAcentral. Lineage: Eukaryota; Fungi; Glomeromycota; Glomeromycetes; Paraglomerales; Paraglomeraceae.